Molecule: ribosomal RNA, 495 nt
Filed under: uncultured bacterium
Lineage: Bacteria
Description: partial 16S ribosomal RNA
Rfam family: Bacterial small subunit ribosomal RNA
Source: RNAcentral
GACGAACGCUGGCGGCGUGCCUAAUACAUGCAAGUAGAACGCUGAAGGAGGAGCUUGCUUCUCUGGAUGAGUUGCGAACGGGUGAGUAACGCGUAGGUAACCUGCCUGGUAGCGGGGGGUAACUAUUGGAAACGAUAGCUAAUACCGCAUAAGAGUAGAUGUUGCAUGACAUUUGCUUAAAAGGUGCAAUUGCAUCACUACCAGAUGGACCUGCGUUGUAUUAGCUAGAUGGUGGGGUAACGGGUCAACAAGGCGACGAUACAUAGCCGACCUGAGAGGGGGGUCUGCCAAACUGGGAAUGGAGCACGGGCCAGAACCCUGCGGGAGGGAGCAGUAGGGGAUCUUUGGGAAAGGACGGAAGUCUGAACGAGGAACGCCGGGGGAAAGAAUGAGGGUGUCGGGUCGUGAAGCUGUGGUGUGAGAGAAGGACGAGUGGGAGAGUUAAAAGUGCACACUGUGACGGUAUCUUACCAGAAAGCGACGGCUAACUACGUG